UUCAUGAUAGAGAGAGAGAGAAUGAGAGAGAGAGGCAGAGACACACGCAGAGGGAGAAGCAGGCUCCUUGCAGGGAGCAUGACUCUGGGCAAAAAGCCCGAUGCGGGACUUGAUCCUGGGACUCCAGGAUCACACCCUGGGCCAAAGGCAGGCGCUAAACCGCUGAGCCACCCAGGGAUCCCCAACACUUUUUUUUUUAAACCACUGCCAAUGUGAGAGGCAAAAUUACUUCACUACUUUAAUUUACAUUUUUAAAAAUUCUUGGCGAUGUUGAACAUCAUUUCAUAAGAGGAGGGCCCGGGUAUUAUGAAAAUACUACAUUGAAAAGUAGCUAAAUUUUUCUUUUCUGUAUGGCUGUGCUAGCAAUUCAGAUAACCAAGUUAAUUUCCUUUGUUUUAGGUUGCUUUCAUGUUUCUGAUUUAAUUAUGUUAAAUAGUGAUAUGGCCCCAAAGUUGAAACUACAAAACAAGCUACAUUUCAUAAUUGCUAUAGCCUGCCCCUCCUUGCUUCCCCUAGGCAACUAUUUUAUUAGUUUUCCCUUUAUCACCCUGCGUCUUUAUUUAUGUUCCCUCACCUUUCUUAUGCAAGAAUAGCACCCAGUAAAGACUUUUCUGGGCCUUGAUUUUUCCUUUUUAAUUAACAGUAAACCCUAGCUGUCACUCCAUAGCAGAAUGUAUCUUUUUCUUAGCAGUAGCAUUACGCUCUACCACGUGGAUAAUGCACCUGUUAAGGCUCGUGGCAAGUGUUCAGUCUUUGCUAUUACACAGAAUGCUGCAGUGAAAAGUCUUGCACAGAUAUUAUUUUGUAUUUCCACUAUUGGCUCUUUAGGGCACAGCCCUAGAAGUAGAUUCCUAGGUAAAGGGCAAAUUCAUAUACACGUUUGCUAAAUGCUUCCACACUUCUUUCCAAAGGGGUUGUAUCAUUUUGCAUCCCCACCAGCUCCACACUAACUGGAUUAAGUAGGUGAUUCCACUUUUCAUUUCUAGAAGUUCCAUCUGGCUGUUUUUCAAAUCUGCUAGGUGAAUCAUGCUUCCAUUUCCCCUGCAGUUCCACACUCAUCUUUUAUGCCUUCAAACAGAGUAGGCACAACUGAUUCAUAGUCUGACCUUGGCAAUUGUGACUUUCGGAGCCUAUUUCUGCUGUUGGUUGCAGCUGCUGGUUCCUGUCCGCAGCACCUUGCUCAUUUCUCACUGUACACUGGUCACUGUCCUUGAAUAAUAGUUUAAGGGCUCCUUGAAGCCUAGGACAAAUGCCUUUCCUCCAGAGGAUGUACAUUUGCUCUGCCAGGCACCUUAGGAGGACUACAAGUCUAGGGAUCCUCCAAGAACUGAAGUCAUAGCAGGAGGUUUCCUUAUAUGUAGCCACUGACAUAGCAAAAUGGAGAGAGGGUCUCCUAGUAGACCCUUGCCUUGAACCCUUAACCCCUGAGACCCUCAGGGCAAAAAGACUGAGAGUAUCUUAGAUGCCUCGUGGUGGCUGCCCCCCCUAGCAUUUGACCUGGAAGUUCUUCACAACCUGUUGGCUCUUCAAAACUUCAAGAUAUUUUUGUAUAUUAUCCGGCAUUUUUUGUUAAAGCAGAAUAGCUGGUCUGAAAUAUCUGGCCCAUCACUACCAGAGACAGAAGUAUUAACAUGCACUUUUUAAAAAUUAACUUUUAAUUAGACAAGUGACAAGAACACAUUUCCUUGCAAAAAAAGUAAAACGUGUGCAAUAUAUUCACUAGUCUGUAUGCCAAAAAUGGGCUUCUCUUUGAGUAGUCAGGGGCUAAUUCAAGUCUUGUCGUCUUUCAUUAUGACUCAGAAUGGUUUAAUGAAAAAAACCUUAAACAAAAUCAAAACUUUGAAACAACACAGUAAGGCAAGGUCUCCUUUGGCCAUUACCCCAUUUCUAGGACACAUCACUGACACUUACGAAGUCUCUUGUAAUCAUACCUAUCCUCCACCACCAUUGUGACUUCUAAUGCCAUAGAUGACUUUCCAAGAGUGGUUUUCAAAUUAGAAAAAUAUACCAUAAAAUAAUUGAUUUCCAUCUUCUUUUGAAUACUCAGGAGUUCUGGAAAUAUUUACCUUGGCCCAGGUGCCCAGACAUGGCAAUGACCACCCCUAGGAUUUCUCUAGUUUGGCAGAGUACCCAGUACCCAGAUCCCCUGGUGUCUAAUUCUGGAAGCUUCACCCAUUGACAACCCCUGCCCGGUCUCCAAAGAUGUCUGAAUUUUACAACUCCUAGUUGGCCAGUCCUCUACUGACGCUAUUCAAGUAGUUUCUGGAUUUUCCUUAAAAAAAAAAAAAAAAAAAA
RNAcentral lists this long non-coding RNA (2295 nucleotides) under Canis lupus familiaris (dog). Its description in RNAcentral is "lncRNA (ENSCAFG00000055690.1, ENSCAFG00845012732.1)". Lineage: Eukaryota; Metazoa; Chordata; Mammalia; Carnivora; Canidae. The record is from RNAcentral.